This is a long non-coding RNA of Cryptomeria japonica (Japanese cedar), 4608 nucleotides long. RefSeq lists it as uncharacterized. NCBI's taxonomy places the organism in Eukaryota, Viridiplantae, Streptophyta, Pinopsida, Cupressales, Cupressaceae. The record is from RefSeq and is a predicted model, not a curated record. The transcript has 6 exons.
CAACAAGAAACGCUUUAUAUUAAUUCUUUUCUUUCGUUAGAGAUCUACUAAUUUGCAUCCUUUUAGUCUUAAAUCUAUUUGUUGACCACCAUUUUCCCGUACAAGGAGAUUGAAUUCUUGUUCUGAAGAAGAGGUUACAGUGACAUGGAUUCCAUGGAUAUGAGCUCAGAAAUCCUCACAAGAAUUGGGUGCAUACUUCUUAUGUUACCACUUAUGGGUUUCUGGCUCAAAUAGGAAAUAUAUUAACAGAGUUUCGUUCUCCCUAAAUUUAGCUCCAUUAAAACACAAACGACUUGGGUUUCACUGUGUCAUUUUGAUUAUUGUGUUCUUCACAGUUGGUGCAAUCACCCUUCCUUCAUCAGAUAUUUCAAGAUUUAAAAAUCAUUUAUAUGGGCGUUGCAUUUCAAGGUUACUGUGCUCUUCAAGGUUUCUUGACCGCCAUUUUCCCAUAGAGGGAGAUUGAAUUCUUGUUCUGAAAAAGAUAUGAGCUCAGAAACACAAGCGACUCGGGUUCCAUUAUAUCAUUUUGAUUAUUUUAUUCUUCACAGUUGAUGCAACCAUCCUUCAUCAGAUAUCUCAAGAUGACAGAGCGCCUCAGAAUUAAGGAUUCCUUUGCGCUUAGCUGGACAUAAAGAUGAUAGAGUAUGACCAUCAGGAAAGUGCUUAACAGAGGCAAGUGCAACAAAACCAGGAAAUCCAAGAUGUUGUCCUCUUACCUGAUGAGGUGUUACUGUCUCCUCAGAGAUUCAGAUGCAAAGACAAAGAAUCUCUGCCAUCUUCUUUCGAAGACAAUCUCCAUACACAACGGAAGGGAAUUGAAUAUUUAGAUAGAGCCCAAGGAGCUGCGGUAAGAUGCCAGGCACCUGCACAAAAUGUCCAAUGGUCUGCAAAAUCAAUGACCCUAGUUGACAACAUUCAUAACCCAGUUUUAACUUUUAACAGAGACCAUGAAAGUGAAUGCCGAGUUUAUGAAUUCCUCCCAGCCCAUUGAAUCACAUCACAUGGUAUAUGAGAAGUUCAUUACAGAUUAGGAUAUUUUUCUGUUUGCCAAAGGUAUCAACUAUAAACAAGGACUAAAUGUUGCAACACAAGACCUCCGUUGCAUCUUCAAUGACACAAUAGAAACUACUGUAACUCUAUUUGCACUCUGCACAAGAGAUCUUUAGGUGUGAGCAUCGAGAAGAAGAACAAGUACUUCAUCAGUUGCUUGGAUACAAAAUCACUCUGUCAAUCCUUGGAAACCCUAUUCCUUCUGUUGUUUAUUAUGACAUCCCACCAUCUUAUGACAGACCUCUGCAGUAUGCUCAUGUUAGAACUGCAGAAAGCAAGAUGAAACUAUGUGCCUGCACCUUGGUGUUUAUCUCUGGACUCCGGCCCCUUCUCGCAGCGGAUCAACCUGGGUUCGCUCCAAUGGACGCAUACGCUGCCAGUUCAGUCGCCAAGUAUACAGCAGCAGCAUCGCAGGGCCUGCAAUAUGUUAGGUUCAAGAUGGUUCCGUGUGGGGUAAAUUUACUGCAUACGCAUCCAUGAGCUUCAGAAAUGCUUACUCUUAUCUCAGGAGGGCCUCUUCAAGUUGGUUUUGUUGACACUCAAGGUCAAGCUUUCAUCGAUAUUUUGCAUUCUGGAGAUAUGACCAUAUUUUCGAGGGGGACACUGGAUUUUGAGCUUAAUGUUGGAACUGAAGAAGCUAAUUAUAUCUCUGCUCUCAACAGUCAAAAUCCUGGUGUUGUGACAAGCAGCGUGUCAAUAUUGAAGCUUCCAUUGAAAAGUGUGUCAACAGCUUUCAACAUCACCCAACAAGCUGUAAAGAAAUUAGAUUCAACGAUAUAUGCCAGUGCAAUGGGACUGAAAAAAACAUCCAAAAGCGGUUGUGUUCCAGGAAGAGAUAUUACUGAAGAAUUUUUAAUUAUAUGUUGAUUCCCACUCCCCCACAAUAAAUGGCGUCCAUUGGGAACCAUAUGCCCCGACCCGGCAUAAUGUGAGCAGAUAUCCAUUGCCAAUGGCUAAGACACAGGAAGCAGAGUUUUCACACUGUUCUUUCAUGGCCAGGGAAAAGUUCCAAUGGAUGUUGUAUACCGAUGUGGGUGAGUUUGUAUUCUCUGAUUCUUGGUUGAAUGAGCAGGUGGGUCCAGAGGACAAGGGCUUUCAGGAAGUAAAACCCAACUGCAAGGAUCUUACUUCAGUGGCUCUCUUGAACAUGGUUAUGAGUCUAAGUUCACAGAGGAACAGCCUUCAAGAAUUUCCGAAUCUCAUAUCAGGCAACUUUCCUUCAAGUGUAGGAAUUUUGGGCCAUCAAGGCAUACCGAACACCCUGAGAGGGAGGCAGGAGAAAAGGUUCAAGAGAGGCAGAAGAAAAGGUUGCAGUUAGUUGUUGAUCUGAUCUUGGUUAUUUUGCAGUUACGUUAGAGGAGGUGAUAUUGGAAACAAAUUUAAGAUUCCUUUGUGCUUAACUGGAGGUUUGCAAGAAGGAUUUUGAAGAAAGACAAUAGAGUACAACCUAAAGGCAUGUGCUUCGGAGAGGAAUCAUUUUCCAACCACUGAAUCUGACUGUGCUGCACAGCCAUGGAUUUUUAUUCAUCCAAGAUGUUGUCCUCUUACUUGAUGAAGUGUUACUAUCAGUCCCACUGUUUUUUCCAAAAUUCAGAUUUGGAGACAAAGAAUCUCUCCAAUGGUUCUUUCUCAAACAAUUUCUAUACACAACUGAAGGAAACUGAAUAUUUAGAUACAGCCCAAUUUUCCCACUUCCUUUUCAAAGCGUUUUUGCCUUUGUAUUUUUUGUAUUUUUUAUUUUUUGUUUAUUCGCUUCUUUGGAUUUGUUCUUGGUUUCUGAUGUGAUUCCUAUCUUUUUCUUUUUAUUAUCAAAUCCAAACUCCAACUUUAAUUUCAACUCAUCCCAUCCCUUCUUAUCACCUUGAGAAUUUUUCUUAGCAUCUUAUUUCAAAAUAUUUUUUUUUAUUGCUAUUCGUAGUUUCUCUUUCUCUGUAUUUAUUUUUUCAUAAUUUCUUUUACGAUUAUAAAGAUUCCUAAAGUCUCAAACUAGAAAUUAAUUUAUGUUUUUUGCAAGUUUAAAACUUGUCAAAGUUUUUUUUUGUAGUUCCUGCUCUUCUUGUUUUUCUUUUUCUUUUCUUCGUUUUUCAGCUUGUCAAGCAGCCUAUCUUUUAAUCUGCCUAGCUUUUAUCGCUUUUUUGUGCUCUUGGAACCUUUUCUUUAGUUUUUGCACUCUUUCUAAGCGUUUCUGCUAAUCUUCUAGCUCGAAUGCCUUUUCCAGGUUCUUAACUUCCUUUGGAGUAGUUGCGGAUUCCAAUUUUUAUAAUCUCUGUUUUAUGAUCUUUUGUCUUUCUUGUUUUCGUCGUCUCCUUUCCUCUUUGAUUUUUCGAAAUUCUGAGAGUUUACUUCUUCUUUGGAUAUUCAAUUCCCUUCAGUUUGUAUAAAAAUUGUUUGAGAAAAAACAUUGCAGAGAUUCUUUGUCUUCAAAUCUGAAUUUUGGAGAAGGUGGUGGGACCAAUAGUGACACUUCACCAGGCAAGAGGACAACAUCUUGGAUGAAUAAAAAUCCAUGGCUUUGCUUCAUAGUCAGAUUCAGGGAUUGGAAAUGACUCCUCUGUGAAGCACUUGCUUGUAGGUUGUACUCUAUCAUCUUUCUUCCAAAUCCUUCUUGCAGACCUCUAGGUAAGCACAAAGGAAUCCUUAAAUUUCUGUCUGAUAACAACUCUAACGUAACUCUAACUUAACCAAUGGCAAGUGAACAACUAACUCAGAAAAAUUAAAAUAGGGAAUGCCUAAAAUUCUCAGCUGCUGUCAUCUAUUGCAAGCACAAGAAGGUUAUCCAUUAUGGCUACAUAUUACAAGGACAGAAAUACUUCUGUGGCAGUACCAGCGUUUGACGAUCCAUAUCAUCUUUGACUAAUACUUCUGUGGCAAGUUUCCUUCAAGUGUAGGAAUUUUGGGCCAUCAGGGCUCACUGAACACCCUGACAGAGGGGUAACCCAAAGGUACACUGCAGAGAGAGGCAGGAGAAAAGGUUCAACUCCAUAGUUUUGUUGGAAGCUGCCUCUACUUCAUUGUUUAAUGUAAUAAACCUUUUCCAGCUGAAGAAGGGAUACAGGACAUUGUAUGUUCAGUCCUCCAUGGCAAUGAUAAAUCAUUAUACAUAUUAAGCAUUGAUUGAGUUUAAGGUCAAGUUUAGGAGGCGAGUAACUGCCUAUGUUGUGGAUUGGAGUGAGUCUAAAUAUUCUGCUUCUCAGGACAGAACACCUGGCCUUAGCAAUAAGGCCAUUCAGCCAGAUGAUUGGGAACAUAGAUUUUGUGAGGUGAUAGAUACUGCAUUGAAAGAUUUUGCAAUCAGGGUGUUUUCAUUGAGUAAUGAGCCAACUUCCAAACUAGAAUGGCGAUUAUAAAUCUAAUGUUUAAUGCUCAUAUACCUCAAAUUCUGUUUACUUGUAUAUAAUAAAAAAUCGGUAUUUGAGGGGUGAUUCAUUGCCCCAGGUUUAAACUUGACAAUUUGAACUUAAUGCCAAAGGCAAACAGGGUAGAUCAAUCUGUUACAGCAUAAGCCAUAUUUGAAAUCAUAAAAUAAUUUAAAAGAGCAUAAUUGUACCAUGAUAUGUU